UUUCAGUUUUAUAGUUUUGUUUGUGGAAACACCACGUAAAUUUAUUACUGCAGUAAUAAAUUUACGUGGUGUUUCCACAAGCAAAACUAUUAUAUUUUAUCGCCAUUCAAA
Non-coding RNA from Paramuricea clavata, 111 nucleotides. NCBI's taxonomy places the organism in Eukaryota, Metazoa, Cnidaria, Anthozoa, Malacalcyonacea, Plexauridae. The record is from the annotation of a GenBank genome assembly.